This 73-nucleotide transfer RNA is filed under the name Myotis brandtii (Brandt's bat). It matches the Rfam family "tRNA". From Rfam's summary of the family: Transfer RNA (tRNA) molecules are approximately 80 nucleotides in length. Their secondary structure includes four short double-helical elements and three loops (D, anti-codon, and T loops). Further hydrogen bonds mediate the characteristic L-shaped molecular structure. tRNAs have two regions of fundamental functional importance: the anti-codon, which is responsible for specific mRNA codon recognition, and the 3' end, to which the tRNAs corresponding amino acid is attached (by aminoacyl-tRNA synthetases). tRNAs cope with the degeneracy of the genetic code in two manners: having more than one tRNA (with a specific anti-codon) for a particular amino acid; and 'wobble' base-pairing, i.e. permitting non-standard base-pairing at the 3rd anti-codon position. Lineage: Eukaryota; Metazoa; Chordata; Mammalia; Chiroptera; Vespertilionidae. The record is from Rfam by way of RNAcentral.
GCCGGUGUGGCUCAAUGGAUAGAGCGUCGGCCUGCGGACCAAAGGGUCCCGGGUUCAAUUCCCGCCAAAGGCA